This 298-nucleotide unclassified non-coding RNA is filed under the name Hevea brasiliensis (rubber tree). The record is from RNAcentral. Lineage: Eukaryota; Viridiplantae; Streptophyta; Magnoliopsida; Malpighiales; Euphorbiaceae.
AAAAAAAAAGUUCAAUCUUUGAAUUUGAUCAAAACCAGACCGAUUUGGAUCGAAACCAAAAUUGGAACCGAUGAGGACCCUGCAGUCGGGUCCCAAUCCCUCCAAACCUUGGACGAGAACCGGUGGCCACCCUAAAUAUACCUCUCAUGGCAUAUCUUCUCUACUGAUUUUUGGAAUGGUGUUGUGGGUCAGGUCCUCCAGGACUCGCUCGUUUGGAAUUAAAAUGGAUUUUCUUCAUGCCUUCAUUUCCCUGCCUGACAUUGUAAACUUCACUCUCACCCAUUUUCCGAAUCGACAA